Molecule: long non-coding RNA, 1316 nt
Filed under: Bos indicus x Bos taurus (hybrid cattle)
Lineage: Eukaryota; Metazoa; Chordata; Mammalia; Artiodactyla; Bovidae
Description: lncRNA (ENSBIXG00005005049.1)
Source: RNAcentral
CUUGAUAUGUUUAAGAGAAUAUUUAUUUCAAAUUCCACUUUACUCUCUGUGCUACCUAGAAGAAAUAGGAGAGGCUUCUCAAGAGGAGAAGAUAGUUGGAACUCUGGAAGUUGUGUGAGGAUUUUUAGCUCUUCAGUCUAUUUGGAACAGAAGGUUUCGACUGUGAACAAAGAAAAGUAUGAGUGAAAACAGAGCUUAGGAGUAAAGAUUACAGUCCAUGUAUCAAAAAAAGAUCUCCUUCUCCAAAAUUAUUUUCAGCAGGGCUCCUUUUAUAGCUAGUUCAUGGAGGUCAAUUGAUAUAUAAUUGAAUUUUCCAAAAAUAUCUUCACAAGACUUUUCAGUAAUACAACAUAAUAAGAUUUAGUCCCACGGUGGUAACUGCAUUCCUGAAAAGCUGAGCGAUGUUUCAGAGUUUUCACAAGUUACCUUUCUUAAAGUAGGUUGAUAGCUAUGCAUCAAGGCCCAAAAUCAUGCCUGUGGAAACAACACUCUUCACAACUCCACUUGCUAGAAGCUGCUAUGCUUUCUUGAAGAGAUGAGGUAGAAAACUGUUAUUCUUGUUUUUUCUUUUGGUUUGGAUCACCAGGGAAGUCCCAGAAAUUUGCUAUUCUUAACUGGGUUAAAUUAAGGAUGACGGGAAGGACAGGAAGUGUCACCAUCUUGGGGAGAAGGAAGAGUUGUUAAAGCAUCAUCUAGACUCGUAGCUCUCUGGGCAUGGUUUCAUUGCUGUGUCUGAAAUUGUAUAUUAUUUGUUUCUUUUCAUUUUUUUUUUACAAGUUUCUUAUAUCACUGUCUCUUGAGAUAUCAGUUUUUGAUACUUAUUUCCUUUUAUUUCCUCACAUAUGUACUACCUCUUGGGACAUGAUCCAUUUUUCUUCAGCCUGAAUAGCCUUCCUCCACACUCUGAAGGACAUCAAGACACUAGAUUUAACAAUGUGGCAGUGGAUGAGAUGGGAGACAUGCUCGAAGUAUUCAAAAUGAAAAACACCAGAACACAACCGUUAUUUUAUGAAAGAGGCUGGAAAAUGGUUAGUAAAGAAAUCACAGAUGUGUUUCACAGAUGAGGGGGAGGUAAGGGAGAGGACUAUGUUCAGAAAAUAGCAUAAGCACAAUAUAUUCCUGAUUUGGCUCAACAUAUUACUUUUUGGGUUUCUUAAGCUUGAUUUGGGAGGUUUAUUUUCACUUUGAAGAGUAUCUGUGUCUAUAUGGAUGUACAUAAGUAAUUUGACAUCCCAGAAGAACAUAAUGUUAUUAUAGAAUAUUGACCAUAAUUAUUUAUCUGUAGUUACAUUAAAUAAAAGGCACUUGAUAAAACA